GAGUUUGAUCCUGGCUCAGAUUGAACGCUGGCGGCAUGCCUUACACAUGCAAGUCGAACGGCAGCACGGGAGCUUGCUCCUGGUGGCGAGUGGCGAACGGGUGAGUAAUGCAUCGGAACGUAUCCUGGAGUGGGGGAUAACGUAGCGAAAGUUACGCUAAUACCGCAUAUUCUGUGAGCAGGAAAGCGGGGGGACCUUCGGGCCUCGCGCUCUUGGAGCGGCCGAUGUCGGAUUAGCUAGUUGGUGAGGUAAAGGCUCACCAAGGCGACGAUCCGUAGCAGGUCUGAGAGGAUGAUCUGCCACACUGGAACUGAGACACGGUCCAGACUCCUACGGGAGGCAGCAGUGGGAAUUUUGGACAAUGGGGGCAACCCUGAUCCAGCCAUGCCGCGUGAGUGAAGAA
Molecule: ribosomal RNA, 403 nt
Filed under: bacterium enrichment culture clone ALO1_GLFRUDD03FKKC3
Lineage: Bacteria
Description: bacterial SSU rRNA
Rfam family: Bacterial small subunit ribosomal RNA
Source: RNAcentral